CCUACGGGAGGCAGCAGUGGGGAAUAUUGGACAAUGGGCGAAAGCCUGAUCCAGCAAUGCCGCGUGAGUGAUGAAGGCCUUCGGGUCGUAAAGCUCUUUUACCAGGGAUGAUAAUGACAGUACCUGGAGAAUAAGCUCCGGCUAACUCCGUGCCAGCAGCCGCGGUAAUACGGAGGGAGCUAGCGUUGUUCGGAAUUACUGGGCGUAAAGAGUACGUAGGCGGUUAUUCAAGUCAGAGGUGAAAGCCCGGGGCUCAACCCCGGAACUGCCUUUGAAACUAGAUAACUAGAGUCUUGGAGAGGUUAGUGGAAUUCCGAGUGUAGAGGUGAAGUUCGUAGAUAUUCGGAAGAACACCAGUGGCGAAGGCGACUAACUGGACAAGUACUGACGCUGAGGUACGAAAGCGUGGGGAGCAAACAGGAUUAGAUACCCUGGUAGUCCACGCCGUAAACGAUGAUAACUAGUUGUUCGGUCACUUGGUGACUGAGUGACGCAGCUAACGCAUUAAGUUAUCCGCCUGGGGAGUACGGUCGCAAGNUUAAAACUCAAAUNAUAGAGCGNGAGAGNGCGAGACGACACGAGGAGAG
Molecule: ribosomal RNA, 587 nt
Filed under: uncultured bacterium
Lineage: Bacteria
Description: bacterial SSU rRNA
Rfam family: Bacterial small subunit ribosomal RNA
Source: RNAcentral